Molecule: long non-coding RNA, 551 nt
Filed under: Brassica napus (rape)
Lineage: Eukaryota; Viridiplantae; Streptophyta; Magnoliopsida; Brassicales; Brassicaceae
Description: long non-coding RNA (BNAP_LNC015863)
Source: RNAcentral
CCGACUGAUACUCAUUCUCUCUUAAAGUUGUACUUUUGGUUCACUGAUCCUUAUAGUUAAUAGCUCCUUGUUGUUGCUUGUUUCUUAUUGUAUGUUAGUCUCCUUCUCUCCUCUCUUUUCUUUUUGUGUUGUAAUAAAUUGUUCUGCAACAUUGUAAAAAACAGAAAAUCAGUAUGGAAUUUAACAUUUGUACCAAAAAAAAAAAAAAACUGAGAGUGGCUGUGAAGAUUCAUCCUACUCUCAACCCUCUCCAAUUUAUAGGGUCUGAGGUGAUUCGGAUCUCAUUGUAUGGGAAGGGAGACAGAGAGUUCGAAAUUGUCAAUGAGUUUAAUGAGAAUAACAUUUAUUGUCUAAGUUAAGAGGAAUACAUUGAAUUGAACCAAAAGGAAGAUGUGAAUAUGAAAAGAUAGGAGAGGUGAAGAGGUGGAUAGUAGGGAAAAAGAAAUCGUGUUUCUGCAGACUUAUGAGAAACAGGCAGAGAUGGUGAGGUUGAAGGGUCGACGAAGGAAAACAAUGAAAACCUAAUGGUCAUAAAACAGCAGAGCUUGUUU